GACGAACGCUGGCGGCGUGCUUAACACAUGCAAGUGGAGCGACGAACCGGGGCUUGCCCCGGGGCAGAGCCGCGAACGGGUGAGUAACACGUGGGUAACCUGCCUCAAUGAUUGGGACAACCCGGGGAAACUCGGGCUAAUACCAAAUGUGUUCACUCCUUCUAAGGGGAGUGAGGAAAGGAAGCUUCGGCCUCCGCAUUGAGAUGGGGCCCGCGGCCCAUUAGCUUGUUGGUGAGGUAACGGCUCACCAAGGCUUCGAUGGGUAGCUGGUCUGAGAGGACGAUCAGCCACACUGGGACUGAGACACGGCCCAGACUCCUACGGGAGGCAGCAGUGGGGAAUCUUGCACAAUGCGCGAAAGCGUGAUGCAGCAACGCCGCGUGGGGGAAGACGGCC
This 396-nucleotide ribosomal RNA is filed under the name uncultured bacterium. Its description in RNAcentral is "bacterial SSU rRNA". It matches the Rfam family "Bacterial small subunit ribosomal RNA", at positions 28 to 416 of the family's 1533-position model. The record is from RNAcentral.